This 594-nucleotide ribosomal RNA is filed under the name uncultured Bacteroidota bacterium. RNAcentral describes it as "bacterial SSU rRNA". It matches the Rfam family "Bacterial small subunit ribosomal RNA", at positions 122 to 715 of the family's 1533-position model. Lineage: Bacteria; Pseudomonadati; Bacteroidota. The record is from RNAcentral.
CAACCUGCCGACAACACUGGGAUAGCCUUUCGAAAGAAAGAUUAAUACCGGAUGGCAUAGUCUUCCCGCAUGGGAUGAUUAUUAAAGAAUUUCGGUUGUCGAUGGGGAUGCGUUCCAUUAGGCAGUUGGCGGGGUAACGGCCCACCAAACCUACGAUGGAUAGGGGUUCUGAGAGGAAGGUCCCCCACAUUGGAACUGAGACACGGUCCAAACUCCUACGGGAGGCAGCAGUGAGGAAUAUUGGUCAAUGGACGAGAGUCUGAACCAGCCAAGUAGCGUGAAGGAUGACUGCCCUAUGGGUUGUAAACUUCUUUUGUACGGGAAUAAAGUGAGCCACGUGUGGCUUUUUGUAAGUACCGUAUGAAUAAGGAUCGGCUAACUCCGUGCCAGCAGCCGCGGUAAUACGGAGGAUCCGAGCGUUAUCCGGAUUUAUUGGGUUUAAAGGGAGCGUAGGCGGGUUGUUAAGUCAGUUGUGAAAGUUUGCGGCUCAACCGUAAAAUUGCAGUUGAUACUGGCGACCUUGAGUGCAACAGAGGUAGGCGGAAUUCGUGGUGUAGCGGUGAAAUGCUUAGAUAUCACGAAGAACUCCGAUUG